CAGUCGCCGCGGUAAUACGUAGGUGGCAAGCGCUGUCCGGAAUUAUUGGGCGUAAAGCGCGCGCAGGCGGAUCGGUCAGUCUGUCUUAAAAGUUCGGGGCUUAACCCCGUGAUGGGAUGGAAACUGCCAAUCUAGAGUAUCGGAGAGGAAAGUGGAAUUCCUAGUGUAGCGGUGAAAUGCGUAGAUAUUAGGAAGAACACCAGUGGCGAAGGCGACUUUCUGGACGAAAACUGACGCUGAGGCGCGAAAGCCAGGGGAGCGAACGGGAUUAGAUACCCGGGUAGUCCCUGUCUCUUAUACA
Molecule: ribosomal RNA, 301 nt
Filed under: uncultured bacterium
Lineage: Bacteria
Description: partial 16S ribosomal RNA
Rfam family: Bacterial small subunit ribosomal RNA
Source: RNAcentral